Molecule: ribosomal RNA, 635 nt
Filed under: Tetrasticta sp. 2 HE-2012
Lineage: Eukaryota; Metazoa; Arthropoda; Insecta; Coleoptera; Staphylinidae
Description: partial 16S ribosomal RNA
Rfam family: Bacterial large subunit ribosomal RNA
Source: RNAcentral
GUCUUUUUGAUUAUAAUUUAAAGUCUGACCUGCCCAAUGAAAUUUUGAAUGGCCGCAGUAUUUUGACUGUGCAAAGGUAGCAUAAUCAUUAGUUUCUUAAUUAGAAACUGGAAUGAAAGGUUGAACGAGAAAAUAACUGUCUCAUUAUAAUUUUUUUAGAAUUUUAUUUUUAAGUUAAAAAGCUUAAAUUUAUUUAAAAGACGAGAAGACCCUAUAGAGUUUUAUAUAUAAUUUAAUAAUUUUAUUUAUUGUAUUAUUUAUAUAUUAUAAAUUUAUAUAUUUAAUUGGGGUGAUUAAAAAAUUUAUUUAACUUUUUUUUUAUUAUUACAUUUAUUUAUGAUUAAUUGAUCCAAAAUUUUUGAUUAUAAGAUUAAAUUACCUUAGGGAUAACAGCGUAAUUUUUUUUAAGAGUUCUUAUCGAUAAAAAAGUUUGCGACCUCGAUGUUGGAUUAAAAUUAAAUUUUGGUGUAGAAGCUAAAAUAUUAGGUCUGUUCGACCUUUAAAAUUUUACAUGAUCUGAGUUUAAACCGGUGUAAGCCAGGUUGGUUUCUAUCUUUAAAUUAAUAUAAAUAUUUUAGUACGAAAGGACCAAAUAUUAGUAAUAAUUAUAUAAUUUGAAUUAUAUUAAAUUAUUA